RNAcentral lists this ribosomal RNA (253 nucleotides) under uncultured bacterium. RNAcentral describes it as "partial 16S ribosomal RNA". It matches the Rfam family "Bacterial small subunit ribosomal RNA", at positions 524 to 776 of the family's 1533-position model. The record is from RNAcentral.
UACGUAGGGUGCGAGCGUUAAUCGGAAUUACUGGGCGUAAAGCGUGCGCAGGCGGCUUUGCAAGACAGAUGUGAAAUCCCCGGGCUCAACCUGGGAACUGCAUUUGUGACUGCAAGGCUAGAGUACGGCAGAGGGGGAUGGAAUUCCGCGUGUAGCAGUGAAAUGCGUAGAUAUGCGGAGAAACACCAAUGGCGAAGGCAAUCCCCUGGGCCUGUACUGACGCUCAUGCACGAAAGCGUGGGGAGCAAACAGG